RNAcentral lists this ribosomal RNA (301 nucleotides) under uncultured bacterium. RNAcentral describes it as "partial 16S ribosomal RNA". It matches the Rfam family "Bacterial small subunit ribosomal RNA", at positions 509 to 807 of the family's 1533-position model. The record is from RNAcentral.
CAGUAGCCACGGGAAUACGUAGGUGGCAAGCGUUGUCCGGAAUUAUUGGGCGUAAAGGGCUCGCAGGCGGUUUCUUAAGUCUGAUGUGAAAGCCCCCGGCUCAACCGGGGAGGGUCAUUGGAAACUGGGAAACUUGAGUGCAGAAGAGGAGAGUGGAAUUCCAUGCGUAGCGGUGAAAUGCGUAGAGAUGUGGAGGAACACCAGUGGCGAAGGCGACUCUCUGGUCUGUAACUGACGCUGAGGAGCGAAAGCGUGGGGAGCGAACAGGAUUAGAUACCCCUGUAGUCCCUGUCUCUUAUAC